AUGAGUAGGGCGGGACACGUGGUAUCCUGUCUGAAUAUGGGGGGACCAUCCUCCAAGGCUAAAUACUCCUGACUGACCGAUAGUGAACCAGUACCGUGAGGGAAAGGCGAAAAGAACCCCGGCGAGGGGAGUGAAAAAGAACCUGAAACCGUGUACGUACAAGCAGUGGGAGCACGCUUAGGCGUGUGACUGCGUACCUUUUGUAUAAUGGGUCAGCGACUUAUAUUCUGUAGCAAGGUUAACCGAAUAGGGGAGCCGAAGGGAAACCGAGUCUUAACUGGGCGUUAAGUUGCAGGGUAUAGACCCGAAACCCGGUGAUCUAGCCAUGGGCAGGUUGAAGGUUGGGUAACACUAACUGGAGGACCGAACCGACUAAUGUUGAAAAAUUAGCGGAUGACUUGUGGCUGGGGGUGAAAGGCCAAUCAAACCGGGAGAUAGCUGGUUCUCCCCGAAAGCUAUUUAGGUAGCGCCUCGUGAAUUCAUCUCCGGGGGUAGAGCACUGUUUCGGCAAGGGGGUCAUCCCGACUUACCAACCCGAUGCAAACUGCGAAUACCGGAGAAUGUUAUCACGGGAGACACACGGCGGGUGCUAACGUCCGUCGUGAAGAGGGAAACAACCCAGACCGCCAGCUAAGGUCCCAAAGUCAUGGUUAAGUGGGAAACGAUGUGGGAAGGCCCAGACAGCCAGGAUGUUGGCUUAGAAGCAGCCAUCAUUUAAAGAAAGCGUAAUAGCUCACUGGUCGAGUCGGCCUGCGCGGAAGAUGUAACGGGGCUAAACCAUGCACCGAAGCUGCGGCAGCGACGCUUAUGCGUUGUUGGGUAGGGGAGCGUUCUGUAAGCCUGCGAAGGUGUGCUGUGAGGCAUGCUGGAGGUAUCAGAAGUGCGAAUGCUGACAUAAGUAACGAUAAAGCGGGUGAAAAGCCCGCUCGCCGGAAGACCAAGGGUUCCUGUCCAACGUUAAUCGGGGCAGGGUGAGUCGACCCCUAAGGCGAGGCCGAAAGGCGUAGUCGAUGGGAAACAGGUUAAUAUUCCUGUACUUGGUGUUACUGCGAAGGGGGGACGGAGAAGGCUAUGUUGGCCGGGCGACGGUUGUCCCGGUUUAAGCGUGUAGGCUGGUUUUCCAGGCAAAUCCGGAAAAUCAAGGCUGAGGCGUGAUGACGAGGCACUACGGUGCUGAAGCAACAAAUGCCCUGCUUCCAGGAAAAGCCUCUAAGCAUCAGGUAACAUCAAAUCGUACCCCAAACCGACACAGGUGGUCAGGUAGAGAAUACCAAGGCGCUUGAGAGAACUCGGGUGAAGGAACUAGGCAAAAUGGUGCCGUAACUUCGGGAGAAGGCACGCUGAUAUGUAGGUGAAGUCCCUUGCGGAUGGAGCUGAAAUCAGUCGAAGAUACCAGCUGGCUGCAACUGUUUAUUAAAAACACAGCACUGUGCAAACACGAAAGUGGACGUAUACGGUGUGACGCCUGCCCGGUGCCGGAAGGUUAAUUGAUGGGGUCAGCGCAAGCGAAGCUCUUGAUCGAAGCCCCGGUAAACGGCGGCCGUAACUAUAACGGUCCUAAGGUAGCGAAAUUCCUUGUCGGGUAAGUUCCGACCUGCACGAAUGGCGUAAUGAUGGCCAGGCUGUCUCCACCCGAGACUCAGUGAAAUUGAACUCGCUGUGAAGAUGCAGUGUACCCGCGGCAAGACGGAAAGACCCCGUGAACCUUUACUAUAGCUUGACACUGAACAUUGAGCCUUGAUGUGUAGGAUAGGUGGGAGGCUUUGAAGUGUGGACGCCAGUCUGCAUGGAGCCGGCCUUGAAAUACCACCCUUUAAUGUUUGAUGUUCUAACGUGGACCCGUGAUCCGGGUUGCGGACAGUGUCUGGUGGGUAGUUUGACUGGGGCGGUCUCCUCCUAAAGAGUAACGGAGGAGCACGAAGGUUGGCUAAUCCUGGUCGGACAUCAGGAGGUUAGUGCAAUGGCAUAAGCCAGCUUGACUGCGAGCGUGACGGCGCGAGCAGGUGCGAAAGCAGGUCAUAGUGAUCCGGUGGUUCUGAAUGGAAGGGCCAUCGCUCAACGGAUAAAAGGUACUCCGGGGAUAACAGGCUGAUACCGCCCAAGAGUUCAUAUCGACGGCGGUGUUUGGCACCUCGAUGUCGGCUCAUCACAUCCUGGGGCUGAAGUAGGUCCCAAGGGUAUGGCUGUUCGCCAUUUAAAGUGGUACGCGAGCUGGGUUUAGAACGUCGUGAGACAGUUCGGUCCCUAUCUGCCGUGGGCGCUGGAGAACUGAGGGGGGCUGCUCCUAGUACGAGAGGACCGGAGUGGACGCAUCACUGGUGUUCGGGUUGUCAUGCCAAUGGCACUGCCCGGUAGCUAAAUGCGGAAGAGAUAAGUGCUGAAAGCAUCUAAGCACGAAACUUGCCCCGAGAUGAGUUCUCCCUGACCCUUUAAGGGUCCUGAAGGAACGUUGAAGACGACGACGUUGAUAGGCCGGGUGUGUAAGCGCAGCGAUGCGUUGAGCUAACCGGUACUAAUGAACCGUGAGGCUUAACCUUACAACGCCGAAG
RNAcentral lists this ribosomal RNA (2549 nucleotides) under Shigella sonnei. RNAcentral's name for it is "bacterial LSU rRNA". It matches the Rfam family "Bacterial large subunit ribosomal RNA", at positions 408 to 2925 of the family's 2925-position model. Lineage: Bacteria; Pseudomonadati; Pseudomonadota; Gammaproteobacteria; Enterobacterales; Enterobacteriaceae. The record is from RNAcentral.